CGGCUGGGAUGCUGUCGGUGAAAGCUGGGGACCGGAAACGGCCUGGCGCGAGGAGAGGGUCCUGCGUCUGAUUAGCUAGUUGGUGGGGUAACGGCCUACCAAGGCAUCGAUCUGUAGCGGGUCUGAGAGGAUGAUCCGCCACACUGGAACUGAGACACGGUCCAGACUCCUACGGGAGGCAGCAGUGGGGAAUUUUGGACAAUGGGGGCAACCCUGAUCCAGCCAUGCCGCGUGAGUGAAGAAGGCCUUCGGGUUGUAAAGCUCUUUCAGCCGGGAAGAAAAUGCAUGGGUUAAUACCCUGUGCAGAUGACGGUACCGGAAUAAGAAGCACCGGCUAACUACGUGCCAGCAGCCGCGGUAAUACGUAGGGGGCGAGCGUUAAUCGGAAUUACUGGGCGUAAAGCGUGCGCAGGCGGUUUUGUAAGACAGGCGUGAAAUCCCCGGGCUUAACCUGGGAACUGCGUUUGUGACUGCAAGGCUAGAGUACGGCAGAGGGGGGUGGAAUUCCACGUGUAGCAGUGAAAUGCGUAGAGAUGUGGAGGAACACCAAUGGCGAAGGCAGCCCCCUGGGUCGAUACUGACGCUCAUGCACGAAAGCGUGGGUAGCAAACAGGAUUAGAUACCCUGGUAGUCCACGCCCUAAACGAUGUCAACUAGGUGUUGGGAGGGUAAAACCUUUUAGUACCGUAGCUAACGCGAGAAGUUGACCGCCUGGGGAGUACGGCCGCAAGGUUAAAACUCAAAGGAAUUGACGGGGACCCGCACAAGCGGUGGAUGAUGUGGAUUAAUUCGAUGCAACGCGAAAAACCUUACCUACCCUUGACAUGUCAGGAACUUGCCAGAGAUGGCUUGGUGCCCGAAAGGGAACCUGAACACAGGUGCUGCAUGGCUGUCGUCAGCUCGUGUCGUGAGAUGUUGGGUUAAGUCCCGCAACGAGCGCAACCCUUGUCGUUAAUUGCCAUCAUUCAGUUGGGCACUUUAACGAGACUGCCGGUGACAAACCGGAGGAAGGUGGGGAUGACGUCAAGUCCUCAUGGCCCUUAUGGGUAGGGCUUCACACGUCAUACAAUGGUCGGUACAAAGGGUCGCCAACCCGCGAGGGGGAGCCAAUCCCAUAAAGCCGAUCGUAGUCCGGAUUGUAGGCUGCAACUCGCCUGCAUGAAGUCGGAAUCGCUAGUAAUCGUGGAUCAGCAUGUCACGGUGAAUACGUUCCCGGGUCUUGUACACACCGCCCGUCACACCAUGGGAGCGGGUUCCGCCAGAAGUAGGUAGCCUAACCGCAAGGGGGGCGCUUACCACGGCGGGGUUCGUGACUGGGGUGAAGUCGAAACAAGGUA
RNAcentral lists this ribosomal RNA (1337 nucleotides) under metagenome. RNAcentral's name for it is "bacterial SSU rRNA". It matches the Rfam family "Bacterial small subunit ribosomal RNA", at positions 183 to 1498 of the family's 1533-position model. The record is from RNAcentral.